GCAAACAUGGUUACAGAUAUUUUAUUUCAAGCAAUUUAUUUAUCUGAUUCUGUAGGAUUUAUGUUUUAGAAACACACUUUAGGUAUCUUUCGACCCGUUAAGCCUGUUUUCUUUAAAGCUCUUUUUAUUACAGAUAGAAACACAACUUGCUUAGGCCCAUAUGUUACAAAACGGGUCGAAAUUGACGCCUCUAUAUAGUCUCUAUUGUUUUAAGCUUUUUCUUUCUUAGUUUUUAAGUUAUAUAAUGUAUGCAAUGACUUUUAUGUAGGUCUUCUUCUUUGGAAUCAAACUAGGCAACAGUGGGUAGGAAGUAAAAGAAAGUCCAAACAAACCGACCAGAACCGAGAGCCCAAAUUGAGUCGGAAUGCAACGUAUGAAAAUUUGCUUGGAAGCAACAAGCCGUUCGCCAAGCGUGUUCCUCUAUCUGAAAUGGUUACUUUUUUGGUGAAUGUGUGGGAGCAUGAAGGGAAGUAUAAUUGAGAAACAUAGCUUGUGGUCUAAAGAGUACCCAAAUAUCAAAUUUACAUUACAUUACAUUACAAACCAUACAAAUAUCAAUUUGGAUCAGUUAAGGUAAACAAUAUUGUAAUGUUUAUUGAUUUUAAUCAAACAAAACAAGUAUAGAAGAAGCAA
Molecule: long non-coding RNA, 633 nt
Organism: Helianthus annuus (common sunflower)
Lineage: Eukaryota; Viridiplantae; Streptophyta; Magnoliopsida; Asterales; Asteraceae
Exons: 3
Source: RefSeq, a predicted model, not a curated record